AUUGAACGCUGGCGGCAGGCUUAACACAUGCAAGUCGAGCGGAGAUGAGGUGCUUGCACCUUAUCUUAGCGGCGGACGGGUGAGUAAUGCUUAGGAAUCUGCCAUUUAGUGGGGGACAACAUUCCGAAAGGAAUGCUAAUACCGCAUACGUCCUACGGGAGAAAGCAGGGGAUCUUCGGACCUUGCGCUAAAUGAUGAGCCUAAGUCGGAUUAGCUAGUUGGUGGGGUAAAGGCCUACCAAGGCGACGAUCUGUAGCGGGUCUGAGAGGAUGAUCCGCCACACUGGGACUGAGACACGGCCCAGACUCCUACGGGAGGCAGCAGUGGGGAAUUUUGGACAAUGGGCGAAAGCCUGAUCCAGCCAUGCCGCGUGAGUGAAGAAGGCCUUCGGGUUGUAAAGCUCUUUUGUCCGGGAGGAAAUCCCGUAACCCAAUACGUUACGGGGAUGACAGUACUGGAAGAAUAAGCACCGGGCUAACUACGUGCCAGCAGCCGCGGGUAAU
This 503-nucleotide ribosomal RNA is filed under the name uncultured bacterium. RNAcentral's name for it is "bacterial SSU rRNA". It matches the Rfam family "Bacterial small subunit ribosomal RNA", at positions 30 to 524 of the family's 1533-position model. The record is from RNAcentral.